UCGUCAGGUAGGAUAAUCCUUACCUGUUCCUCCUUUGGGAGGGCAGAUCGGAAUAUGAUGAUUGGAGUUCGCAUGAUGCGUGAUUAAAUUAUUUGACUGACACUUUACAGUGUGACCCAUGACAGAU
Molecule: small nucleolar RNA, 127 nt
Organism: Mustela erminea (ermine)
Lineage: Eukaryota; Metazoa; Chordata; Mammalia; Carnivora; Mustelidae
Product: U8 small nucleolar RNA
Exons: 1
Source: RefSeq, a predicted model, not a curated record